GUUGUCGUCAGCUCGUGUCGUGAGAUGUUGGGUUAAGUCCCGCAACGAGCGCAACCCUUAAGCUUAGUUGCCAUCAUUAAGUUGGGCACUCUAAGUUGACUGCCGGUGACAAACCGGAGGAAGGUGGGGAUGACGUCAAAUCAUCAUGCCCCUUAUGAUUUGGGCUACACACGUGCUACAAUGGACAAUACAAAGGGCAGCGAAACCGCGAGGUCAAGCAAAUCCCAUAAAGUUGUUCUCAGUUCGGAUUGUAGUCUGCAACUCGACUACAU
Molecule: ribosomal RNA, 272 nt
Filed under: Staphylococcus aureus
Lineage: Bacteria; Bacillati; Bacillota; Bacilli; Caryophanales; Staphylococcaceae
Description: partial 16S ribosomal RNA
Rfam family: Bacterial small subunit ribosomal RNA
Source: RNAcentral